Long non-coding RNA from Triticum aestivum (bread wheat), 820 nucleotides. RefSeq lists it as uncharacterized. The transcript has 2 exons. Lineage: Eukaryota; Viridiplantae; Streptophyta; Magnoliopsida; Poales; Poaceae. The record is from RefSeq and is a predicted model, not a curated record.
CCCAUAAAAGCGGCCACUUUUUUUACAUGGUUGGAAUUUCUGAUGUGUAUGGUAAGUUUGGAGGAGGUAUUGAGCAAGUUACAUUUUCUUUCUUUGGCAGUGUAUGGUAAGUUUGGAGGAGGUAUAGUGCAGAGCAGAGCAGGGGAGCUGGCCGCAAACAGAGAACGUUGUGCUCCUAAACAACUAGUACUAUCUUCAGCAAAGCUAGCCAACCAGGGACCUAGAAUCUCCAUCACUCCAUCACCUCGAGUCUCAAGCAAUGGGCAGUGAACUGCUCGCAGCAAUGGUUGCACCACUAGCGGAGCAUCCCUUGAUCCCGUCCACGACCACUACCACCACUACCGCCGGCAACGGAGCCAUCACAACAAUCACCACCACCACAUGCUCCUCCGCCGCCCAUGGCACCACUACCACUACCACCACAACCACAACAACAACCACCACAAGCACCUCCAACGCCACAACCAUUUCACCCCUCUGUGAUGAGGAAUUUGAAAUUUGAUGGCUGUGCCCAUCUGUAUAAUAUGCCUUGACCUCCUUCUUUGGUUGGUGAUGAUGGGAGCACAGGGCAUGAAGUUGAAGCUUCUCACUGAAGCCUGCAGUUGUUUGUCAUAUGAGGAAAUUGAAUGGAAAUUUGUGGGUACGAGCUAACAGUUAUCGGUUACUGUUUUGUUGAUGCAAAAUAUUAUCUAGAAACCUUGUAUCUUAAGUAAUUGUUAUUGCCAUAGAAACCUUUAGAUGCUUCUCUUGCAACUAUUGGUACGGUUCUGGAGCUAAUGGAUUUCAUGGACGAUUGGGUUUUCAUCUGCUGCAAACUUUC